AGCAGCCGCGGUAAUUCCAGCUCCAAUAGCGUAUAUUAAAGUUGUUGCAGUUAAAAAGCUCGUAGUUGAACUUCGGGGUUCCCCCAUUGGUCAGGCUUAACUGUCCGCACUGGUGGGAGGGAUUCUUACCUUCUGAGGAAUCUCCAUGCCAUUAAUUUGGUGUGGUGGGGAAUCAGGACUAUUACUUUGAAAAAUUAGAGUGUUUAAAGCAGGCUAACGUCUGAAUACAUUAGCAUGGAAUAAUGAAAUAGGACGGCUUGGUUCUAUUUUGUUGGUUUCUAGGAUCACCGUAAUGAUUAAUAGGGAUAGUUGGGGGCAUUAGUAUUCAAUUGUCAGAGGUGAAAUUCUUGGAUUUUAUUGAAGACUAACUACUGCGAAAGCAUUUUGCCAAGGAUGUUUUCAUUAAUCAAGAACGAAAGUUAGGGGAUCGAAGACGAUCAGAUACCGUCG
This 450-nucleotide ribosomal RNA is filed under the name uncultured Glomeromycotina. RNAcentral describes it as "SSU rRNA". It matches the Rfam family "Eukaryotic small subunit ribosomal RNA", at positions 569 to 1020 of the family's 1831-position model. Lineage: Eukaryota; Fungi; Glomeromycota. The record is from RNAcentral.